GCAAGGACAUAUGCUCCCCCUCCCCUACCUAAAGCCCCAAAUAAAAACCCUUCCUUCUAGCUUUUUGGGGAGUUUGGGAUUUCAGCGUUAGCUGCCCUCUCUUCUUGCUCAGCACUGUGCAAAAAUAAAAUUUCUACUUUAUUCCACCACACCCGGUGUCAGAGAUUGGCUUGCUGCACAACGGGACACAAUUGGAAACAGUGGUUAUAUUACCAAGGCUUUGACUGGAACAUCAUGUUUGAAAAAACAUACGGGCUUGGAUAUAACAAGACAGCUUUUGAGGAAUGAAGGUUGACAUUCUGGAAUAAAGCCACUUGGAAAUAUUGGCCUGAAAAACUCUUUAUUAAAUACCUGGUUACUUACUUACAUGAUACAGGCCUACCUUCAGGAGCCCACCAGCAUCACUGCCUUAUUAAAAGACUGGUUCAAUGAGAUGAAACGACCUACGCCCCAUUUCAGCAGGAAGUAGCUAGAUCGGUUGCCACCCCAAAUCCCUCAAGAUUGAGGGAUGGACAUAAAAUAGGGGGGAAGUUGACACUGAUCCUGAUAUCAGUUUCCCCACACUAAACCCAGCAUAUAUGGGGUUAAAAGCAAAACAACCAUUCCCUGCUUGCUCUCUGGCUUCCUGGCUCCAGAAUCCACUAUUCUCCAUGGAGACAGACAUCAUCAAGGACAAGCACCUGGACUAUCUCCUCCCACAAAGAUAUACGGGCUGGUGGGAAAGCUGCUGACCAGCAAGGUCAUGAGCUCGCUCCUGUCUGCAAGUAGUCUCAAGGCCAAAGACAAGCUGGUGGGAAAGCUCCAACCAGCAAGGCCAUAUGCUCCCCCUCCCCUACCUAAAGCCCCAAAUAAAAACCCUUCCUUCUAGCUUUUCGGGGAGUUUGGGAUUUCAGCGUUAGCUGCCCUCUCUCCUUGCUCAGCACUGUGCAAAAAUAAAAUUUCUACUUUCUUC
This 952-nucleotide long non-coding RNA is filed under the name Equus asinus (donkey). RNAcentral's name for it is "lncRNA (ENSEASG00005030627.1)". The record is from RNAcentral. Lineage: Eukaryota; Metazoa; Chordata; Mammalia; Perissodactyla; Equidae.